Molecule: unclassified non-coding RNA, 1819 nt
Filed under: Leishmania donovani
Lineage: Eukaryota; Euglenozoa; Kinetoplastea; Trypanosomatida; Trypanosomatidae
Description: gene:unknown
Source: RNAcentral
CACAUAUCUCAACAAGUGGAAACAAUCAGGAGCAGCAGGCGCGUGUCCCGCCGCACACACACCUGGAGCCAUUUCUUUCAGGGACAUGCGAGGUGGGGGUGGGGGUGAGUGCGGAGGAAGGUGAUCCCUCUGCACUGCACAGUAUCUUUGUCGAGCGUGUAGCGGUGCAUCAACAGGCACGGCAAACCGCAAGAAAGAAGCGCGGGUGUGGCGGAAGUAGGGGAGAGCAGGUAAACGAAAUCUCUAUGCAUCGAAAAGUGGUGGCCAACAUGGCAUGCACAAUGCACGUGUACACACAUACAUCUAGACACAUGGAGUCGUGUGGCUGCACAAGCCGCUCGAGAGCGGACCCUUUUCGUUUGGGGGGUUCCUGUUGUUCGUCGUGUUUCUACUAUCGGUGUGCGUGUGUGCUUCGGUAGCAAUAUCCGGCAAGCAUUGGCUCUCGCCCCCCCCCCUUCUCGUCACCCGUUUCCUUUUUCUCGUUUCGUGGGGCUUGACCUUUGUUUUUUUUUUAUUGGUCGUCACUCUUGGCAUUUUGAUUUUUGUCGCUGCGCUCUGCUGUGUUUACUUUUUCUAUCUUGGCCGGGUGUGUGUUGUGAAGCUCGUCUUCGAGUAGGCAAUGCACUGAAGCUUCUCUCUUUGCUGAGACACGCCUUACUGUCUGCCGGCACGGCAGCGAUGAAGAGCGUGAGCGGGCAAGCAGGAGCGACGUGGCUUAGCGGCCCAUUUUCCCAUUCCCAUUUUCCUAAAUGAGGAUGAGUCCGAAGUUUUGCGCUGAGUGGCGCUGAUGCACAGUUGAUGGCGCCUUCGUCAUGCACUUCUCUGAGCUGCUUUCCGCGCUGUUGUUUUUAUUGUCUUUGUUUCACUAUCAACCUGCUCGCGUGCGAACGCGGCGUUGCCUCUCUGCCCUUCUCUCCUCUCCGUCUUCACGUGCACCCCUUCGCCUCUGCGCGAUUUUUGUUCCUCCUUCCAUCGGGCGUACCGUUUUUCUCUUUUGAUUUUUUUUUUGGCUUUCCUCUUCUCCCUCCCUCUUUUGGGAUAUACUCAUCUCGGUAUAUGCACACAUAUAUACAUCUAUAUAUACGUAUUGUUCACGAGGAAACCGCAGCAGCAAAGAGGCACCUUCACCACACGCAUACAUACAUGCUUAGCCUCUUCGUCCUCCUCUCCGCUCACCUCUCCCCGUAUUCGUAUGUAUGCGCACCUGUUUUUUCGCAUACGUGUUCUCCACUGCUUCGUAUGGCUCGCCUUCCUGCGGCUGUUUUUUUUUUCUUUUGUGCAUUAUGUCAAUAUAAUGUUGCAUGCAUUGACCUGAUUCGGCUCAUUUCACUCGUGCCGCACUGGCUGCCCCCACUGUGCCCCUUUUUAGAGCGACAUGCCGUGAGCUCUUUGCGCGCUGGCACAUGUCCAUCCACGGCCCCCUUCCGCCCGAUACACCCAAUCCUGUCAGGGGCGUUCGAACUCAGGCGGAUGCGGAAUAGCCUCGCUGCCCGCCGAUCGCGCAGCACGUACCCGAAGAAGAAGCGAGGAAGUGCAGAACGCACCUGUUAGGCGCAUGGCCCGAUUCGGCGGCAGACGGCUCGCCCCAGACAACCAGGAUGUAGUCGUGGUGCUGCAGAGGUAGGUGAAUUGUGGUUGUGUGUGAUGCGGGUGUACGUGUGUUGACUUGUUCGUGGUGGAGCGACACAGUGAGAAUACAAGAAAUUGCUAAAAGAUUCAAGACGUCGGGGAGCCGAGGGUAAACUCUCUCUCGUCCACUAGUGCGCAAUCCUUCCCCUGUGGAUUUCAAACUGCACGUCCACGGAGCGCAGCAACGGAG